UAAAAACUUAGGAUNAAGUAAACCAAAAGCCUUCAAAGCUUUAAACAAGGGUGUAAUCCCCUUAGUUUU
This 69-nucleotide transfer RNA is filed under the name Anolis cybotes (large-headed anole). RNAcentral's name for it is "tRNA-Trp". It matches the Rfam family "tRNA". Rfam says of the family: Transfer RNA (tRNA) molecules are approximately 80 nucleotides in length. Their secondary structure includes four short double-helical elements and three loops (D, anti-codon, and T loops). The record is from RNAcentral. RNAcentral also lists the same sequence under 1 other name. Lineage: Eukaryota; Metazoa; Chordata; Lepidosauria; Squamata; Anolidae.